Molecule: long non-coding RNA, 1642 nt
Filed under: Vitis vinifera (wine grape)
Lineage: Eukaryota; Viridiplantae; Streptophyta; Magnoliopsida; Vitales; Vitaceae
Description: long non-coding RNA (VVIN_LNC007493)
Source: RNAcentral
CCCACCACCCACCUCCCCUCUCCCUCCUCCCACAGACCCCUCCCUAAAACAACGGCUCCUCAAUGGCUCAAUCCUUACACAUUCCUAUCAUGCUUCAUCAUCACCUACUCUCAACUUCCAGGAACGUACACUACACCGCCUAAUAAUAGCCAUCCAAACUGAAAAAGGUCAAAGCCAGGUUUGAUCUCAACUAAUAGGAGGAUGAAGCCGCCAUGAGGUUGACCACAGGCUCCUCACAACCCAAGUCUUAAAAAGGGAAAACAACCCAUAGACAAGCGCCCACAGAUUGUUGAUGUGUUUGCUUGUUUAAAAGAAACACCCUUUUACCUGUGAUUUGGUUCUCUCUCUCUCUCUCUCUCUCUCUCUCUCUCUAUCUGUAGUCAUUCAUCAAUGGCACCUACUGCAGCAAUGCUCAUACUCUCUCAGCACCACCAUGGCACCUCAACUUGCCAGCCACCUCUGCCUCCACCACCAGCUUCUUCUCCCACAAGGGCUUAUCUUCUCAAAUGGUUUUCAUCUGAAAGCUCAGAGCCUAAACUGUCUCUGGACAUGGCAGAUACUGCUAUUUCUACUACUUCUUCUUCCUCCACAUCUGCUUCCUGGGUGGCCAAGAGUUUUGAAGAUGUCCUCCUCCAGCUCUGGUGAAGAUGAUGAUGCCCCAAGAUCUCAUGCAUGUUUCUUUGUAUAUGAAUAAAUAUUAAUUCCCCCUCUCUUCAUCAAUCUUGUACACAUGACAGUUGUGUUAAUAUAUCAUCAUCAUCAUUAUAUUUUCUCUUCCGUUUUCCCCCAGUUUUCCCAGCAACCAAUCAGACCAUGCCUAAUCUCUUACUAAAUGCCCUUAACGUGGGCUUUGAUCAUGAUUUGGGUUUUCUCAGCAAAUUCAGUUACAAUGUCAAUGCCGGGAUAGGGUAAAAAAACCCAUUCAAUCCAUCUAUUCAAGCCUAUUUUUCUUUUAUUUUAUUUUUUUAAAAUUUAUUAGUCCAUGAAAAAUCGAAAUUUUCUGUUUGGCUUGUGAAUUAAAAAGACGAAUCCAACCAUAAUAAGUUUCUUUUUUAUACCCCUAAAUAUCACAGAAAUAUAUGUAAAUUAGAUAUUAAUGUCAAUUCCAUAACAUCAAUCUCCAAUGAUUGGGGUAGUUGGUGUCCUGGUUUCAUCCCAGGAUCAGUCUGCGCUUGAGGGAUGAUGAAAAAUAUAAAAUAAUAAAUUUAAAUUUCAUAACAUUUUUACAAGUUUUAAAAGAUUUUCAUUUUUGCUUUUAUGGUUAAAACGCUGGAAUAGAGAAUGAUUUUUUUUUCAUUUAUUUAUUAAUAUAUUUACAUUGUUUUUUAAAAUGAAAAUUGAAAUAAAAAAUUCAUUAAUAUAAAAAUAAAUUUGAAUUCAAAAUUUAAAUAAGGAAGGCUCAUCCAUAAAAGCCUUUGAAAGGUAGGAGACCGACGGUGAAUAAUCCAAAGAGAAAGCAAAUAGUGUCAUUCUUUGGGAGUUUUAAAUUCUCCAAAAAUUACUAAGUUAUGAACACUUGUAAAAACAAUUUUGUAAUCUCGUAGUUUCAAUAAAAACACAAGUUGGGAAGGUUCCCGUAAUUCGCUUGGUUGCCUUUGCAUCUUACGUUUGCUUUUGUUGUGGAUUGGGAAGGUUGGCUAAG